AUAACAUUCGGAUUGUCGGUAUACCGAGCAAUAUCACCCGCUCGGUGCAAAAACUUCCCACUGUCUG
Molecule: microRNA precursor, 67 nt
Filed under: Bombyx mori (domestic silkworm)
Lineage: Eukaryota; Metazoa; Arthropoda; Insecta; Lepidoptera; Bombycidae
Description: mir-2774 microRNA precursor family
Rfam family: mir-2774 microRNA precursor family
Source: Rfam by way of RNAcentral